UACGGGGGGAGCAAGCGUUGUUCGGAUUUACUGGGCGUAAAGGGCGCGUAGGCGGUCAGCACAAGUCAGUUGUGAAAUCUCCGAGCUUAACUCGGAACGGUCAACUGAUACUGUGCGACUAGAGUGCGGAAGGGGCAACUGGAAUUCUCGGUGUAGCGGUGAAAUGCGUAGAUAUCGAGAGGAACACCUGCGGCGAGGGCGGGUUGCUGGGCCGACACUGACGCUGAUGCGCGAAAGCCAGGGGAGCGAACGGG
Molecule: ribosomal RNA, 254 nt
Filed under: uncultured bacterium
Lineage: Bacteria
Description: partial 16S ribosomal RNA
Rfam family: Bacterial small subunit ribosomal RNA
Source: RNAcentral